This 268-nucleotide long non-coding RNA is filed under the name Olea europaea subsp. europaea. The record is from RNAcentral. Lineage: Eukaryota; Viridiplantae; Streptophyta; Magnoliopsida; Lamiales; Oleaceae.
UUGCCUGUUUACAGCAUAAACAUAUGAUAGUUUAUUUAAGAUUUAUCUUAUAUCCAAUUACUUUCCAGUACAAAUUAGGCUUUCAUUAGAUCUGUAAAAUUUGUAGCCCUUCUUUACUUCAGAACAGUUUGUACAGCCUGGAUGAAGCCUCCUAGGACCAGAUUUUGGGCAAGUCAUGUAGCCAACUUUGAGGCAAACUCGUGGGCAAAUUUUCCUUUGGGCUUCAGCAUAUUGCACAUUGCUUCCCAAGAAAAACAAUCCUGUCAAA